Cyprinus carpio carpio is the source of this 2365-nucleotide long non-coding RNA. The record is from Ensembl. Lineage: Eukaryota; Metazoa; Chordata; Actinopteri; Cypriniformes; Cyprinidae.
UAUUGCUGUGCACAUGCGCAGUUAACCCUGGUAGGAAAAUCUGACGGGUAGGAUAAAAUGUCAGGACACCGGCCAGGAUUUUAAUAUUGCCUAAAAUAUCCAGGUUUUUGCUGUUUGCAGGUCGAUCGUUGUGCGACAUUAAGUAAUAUAUCACGCACUGACAUUUCAGGCCUCACAUUUAGAGCUGAUUCACACGAGACCUGCAAUUCUUGAUGCCCUUGAAUCGAAUCUUUUCGGAAUCGACUCACUGUUCUUACCCCACCCGCCGCAGCUGUUGUUUGAAUUUGCGCGGGCGCGCUGACAGGAGAGCUGUGUUCUGCAGUGAGGGGCUACUGACAGCGGUCGGUAAUUUCUGAGAGAUUUACCUCAGAAAAGGCAUGAAGUUGUUGCGAGCCGUUUAUUCCCGCUUCAGGUGCUUCGCUGUUGCGCGCGCUGAUUUUCUGAGAGAUUUACAUCAGACGGAGCCCGGUGUUGUUCCGGUUUGUUCCCGCUUCAGCGGCCUUCAGUCAGCGCGCGGUCACAGGGUCCAGAUUUAUAUCAGAAGAAAAGUCUCCAAGCACUGCAGCGGACUUCUGAUACACCAGAGACAGUCUUGGAGGAGAAAUGGUCAGAUAGCAAAAGUUGCCAUUCUUUUGGAAAACUGCUGGUCUUUAAAGAACAGUCAUCAAUCAGGAUCCUCUGUUCCCAGACCCAACCAUUCAUCUGAAGGACUGUGAAAAUAUGAACCCUUUGAACCACCGGUGACAGUUUCCACAUGAUGAAUAGAAAGGACAUGGCAGAGGAUGAUGGGGGUAUUGAUUUUUCACUGAAAUUAAAUAUAAUUUAAUAACAUUUAGUCUGCUAGUCAGAAUUAUAGCUGAUUAAAUAAAAAUAAAUAGUGGUUCAUGUUUGUUUUGGGAUAGUGGUUCAUGAGUCCUUAGUCCUGAACAGUUUAAAUGGCCGCUUUACUUCAGAAAAAUCCUCCAGAUCCUUCACUUUCUCAGGUUUUCCAGCAUCUUUUGCAUAUUUGAACCCUUUCCAGCAAUAUGAUUUCAGAUCCAUUUUUUACACUGAGGACAAUUGAGGGACUCAUACACAACUAUUUCAAAAGGUAAACGCAUUUAUUGAUUCUCAAGAAAGCAACACAGUUUAUUAAGAGAGACAGGGUGUGACCUACUUGAACUGGAUGAUCAGGCAAAACUAAUUUUUUUCUGAAAAUCAGUAUUAAAAAAGUAUGUAGCUUCUGAAGGGCAGUACUAAAUGGACAGAUAUGAUCUUUAAACAAAACAGGAAAAAUGUACUUAUCAUCCUGUUCAAAAUGUACACCCCCAACUCUUAAUGCAUUGUGUUUCCUUCUGGAGCAUCAGUGAACAAUGUUUCCACCUUUUAUAAUAGUUGUGUAUGAGUCCUUCAUUUUUCCUCAGAGUGGAGAGAUAGAUCUCAAAUUUAUUAGUCAUUGUCAGACAGGGGACAAAUAUGCAGAAGAUGCUGGAAAACCAAAGAAUUUGUGGGACUUGGAGGAUUUUUCUGAAGAACAGCAGGCAGUUGAAUUGCUCUGAACUCAUGAAAAACUAUCCCUAAACAAAAACAGCUGUGUGUCUUCCAGUUUAUGUAAACUUUUGAACAUUUUUAUAAAUUAUACGUUUUAAUUUUUAUAAAUUAAGUAAAUGUGAAUAUCUAUUAUGUAAAAUUGCAUAUUUAUUGCGGUACUAAUUAAAAAUAGCAUACAUUAUGAUCCCUCUUAUUUUGUUAAAAUGAUCGCAUAUUCUGCUAGGGCACAGAGGGGCAAACUCAGUCCUGGAGGGCUUCUGUCCUGCAGAGUUUCGCUCCAACCCUAAUUAAACAGACCUGAAGCUAAUCAAGGUCUUCAGCAUUAUUAGAAGGCUACAGGCAGGUGAGUUGGAUCAGGGUUGGAGCAGAACUCUGCAGGACUGUGGCCCUCCAGGACUGAGUUUGCUUAUCUCUGUGCUGGGGGUAUGUAAACUUAAGAGCAUAACCGUAUCUUCUGUAGCUUCUGAAAGGCAGAAUUAAAUGAAAACGUGGCAAGGUCCUGAUGGUGCCAUUAGAGUUGUAGAGUGUGUGUGUGUGUUUGUGUGUGUUUGACUGUCUAAUUGAGAGAGCAGCAAUCACUGUUCUGGCUCGAGUGUCCAUUGCAAGUGUAUUCAUUAUUGUGUUUUUCUUUAGGUUAGUAUAAAUUUUUUGUUUCUUUUCUAAAUUAUUUAAUUUUUUAAUCAGUUUAAUGAUUUACUUGAAGUGUCUGUGUUUGCAAAAUAUUUAAAAUAUUUUUUCUCAAUCUAAAUGUUGCAGUCCUGCUGAGUUUGUUUAAUAAUAUUUGCAGUCCUGUUAAAUGUUUGCUGUCUUGCAUUUGCUGAAAAAAUAAAAAUUG